GUCCCCUGUGGGAGAUGAGAAGGGUCCCCGCAUUGGGCUCUUGGGGACCCGUCUUGGACAUGAGUGAGGAUGAAGAGGGUCCCGGCAUUGGGCUCUGGAAUGUGACUUAAAAUGGACUUAGGCCUGUAACAGACAUCUCAUGUCUGACAGAAAAUAUUUACAAUCAGGACAUUACUAGAGAAGCAGAAAAAAGCUAAUCACCUCCCUCCUGAGCCAGGAUGGAAUGGAGGAGGGGACUGUGGACCCCAGAUAAUUCCCGCGUCACCACUGUGACUCUAACAACCUCUUAAAUCACAGCCAACAUCUAUCCCACAGGAAGGACUUUAUAUCCCCUAGAAAAUACAGAGGAAGUCAGCUCUGAGCUUUUCCAUGACCAGCCCAGCCAAGGAGCAAGGCUGGGCACAACCUGGGUAAAGAUGUGAGCCCAGACCAUGGGACCAGUGGGUGAAGGAAAAUCGCGUGGGCUGAGGGAGUGGGUAAGCAGGGGCCAUCCCUCCUCUCUGUUUCCUUUGGGGCUGAGCCCUUCUCUGGAAACCACAGAUCUCCUCCAGCAGCAGCCUCUGACUCUGCUGAUUUGCAUCACGGGCCGCUCUCUCCAGCAAGGGGAUAAGAGAGGCCUGGGAGGAACCUGCUCAGUCUAGGCCUAAGGAAGCAGCAUUGGUGGUGCCUCAGCCAUGGCCUGGACCGUUCUCCUCCUCGGCCUCCUCGCUCACUGCACAGGCUCUGCGACCUCCUAUGAGCUGACUCAGCCACCCUCGGUGUCAGUGGCCCCAAGACAGACGGCCAGGAUUACCUGUGGGGGAAACAACAUCGGAAGUAAAAUUGUGCACUGGUACCAGCAGAAGCCAGGCCAGGCGCCUGUGCUGGUCAUCUACGAUGAUAGCGACCGGCCCUCAGGGAUUCCUGACCGAUUCUCUGGCUCCAACUCAGGGAACACUGCCACCCUGACCAUCAGCAGGGUGGAAGCCGGGGAUGAGGCCGUCUAUUACUGUCAGGUGCGGGACAGUAGUAGUGAUUAUCCCACAGUGACACAGGCAGAUGAGGAAGUGAGACAAAAACACCCUCCCAGCCUCAGUGACCCUCUUGCUUCAGCCCUGGGAAGACUAUUGAUAAAGCCAUGAGUGGAUCUGGCCCGGUUCACCUGGAUCUGAGCCUUUCAGGCUGCCCUUCCCUCCAGCCCCCUCCAGGAGUCUCUACAGAGCAUACAUCAGACAUACACAUGGCCCGGAAGGGCCAGAAUCAUCUGGUGACUUGGGGCUGUUGUGUGAGUUAGAGAAUGAGGGCCUGGGUGGAAAGACAAACAGAGGCAACCUCUGUCCACUGUCCUGUCCCUGGAUGGUCAUAUGGUGGAGACGGAGCCAGUCCUUACACCAACUGUCUGGAUCUGUCCCCAGAUCUGCUGCCCAGCCCUGCUGAGGUCCUGGCCCCCAGGCUGUGUGGCAGCCUGUGAUUCCCAACAGAGCAAACCAGAGGAAUGGACACUGUGAACUCUGCCCAGAUCACCUCCUCAAUGUGACCCACCUAGCAUUGCUGAGAAGCCCAGCAGCUCAGAGCCGUGCCCACACUGGGAAGUGCUGUUGGUUGCAGAAAGCUUCCUCAAGUUUAUGUCCCUUCUCAGAGGGGUUCAGUUUAAUGAACCAAGAUCUCAAGUCCCUGCCUCAAUGUAAGACACCACUGAAUGAAGGGCCUCCCAGCUCCAGAGCUCCCUCUGUGGAGCCUGAGGCCUCAUUGGCAACCCCAUCAUGAGUCAGGGUCUCCUUCUGCCAGUGUUGCCUCCCUCACUCCCUUCUAAAUCUUCUGUGCAUUGUAAUCUCCAUCUCAGAGCUGGCUUGCAGCGAACCCCAUGGAAGAUGGCCAACUGCCCCUACAUGGGCCACCAGGGACCUGAAGAGACCACUAUGCACUGAAAACUCUGGUUUCUGUCCUAAAGUUUCAGAGUAAAUGAUGAAAUGCCCAAUCUGAUGGUUCCUGAAACUUUUAUGGAAUGAAGGGAAUCUGACCUGGCAGGUGCUCUGGGUUGAGGGAGAGUUGGAGUCAGGUCUCCCUUCAAGGAACCCCGGGGCAGGCAGAGCAGCCACACCCCACGCAGGGACCACAGAUGCACCCAGAGGGUGGGCUGCAGGAUGGACACUGCCCACUUCUUCUGCAAAUAUCGCUCCUUCCUACACUCCCAACCAGAUAUGUAGAUGUGAUUGAUUAACUAGGUAAAACACAGGUCACUUGUCACAUCAAAAGUCACUGCAGGUCACCCUGGUCAACAGAAAAACCAUUCACAUUCCCAUCAACUACACAGUCCCCAAAUCACUGAUC
Molecule: non-coding RNA, 2310 nt
Organism: Pongo pygmaeus (Bornean orangutan)
Lineage: Eukaryota; Metazoa; Chordata; Mammalia; Primates; Hominidae
Source: the annotation of a RefSeq genome assembly